GACGAACGCUGGCGGCGUGCUUAACACAUGCAAGUCGAACGGAAAGGCCCUGCUUUUGUGGGGUGCUCGAGUGGCGAACGGGGGAGUAACACGUGAGUAACCUGCCCUUGACUUUGGGAUAACUUCAGGAAACUGGGGCUAAUACCGGAUAGGAGCUCCUGCUGCAUGGUGGGGGUUGGAAAGUUUCGGCGGUUGGGGAUGGACUCGCGGCUUAUCAGCUUGUUGGUGGGGUAGUGGCUUACCAAGGCUUUGACGGGUAGCCGGCCUGAGAGGGUGAACGGCCUCAUGGGGUCUGAGAUACGGACCAGUCUCGUACGGGAGGCAGCAGUGGGGAACAUUGCACAAUGGGCGGAAGCCUGAUGCGGCAACGCUGCGUGCGGGAUGACGGCUUUCGGGGUGUGAACCGCUUUCGCAUGUGCCGAAGCGUGAGUGACGGUAAUGGGUAAAGAAGCACCGGCUAACUACGUG
Molecule: ribosomal RNA, 468 nt
Filed under: uncultured bacterium
Lineage: Bacteria
Description: partial 16S ribosomal RNA
Rfam family: Bacterial small subunit ribosomal RNA
Source: RNAcentral